Molecule: ribosomal RNA, 497 nt
Filed under: uncultured bacterium
Lineage: Bacteria
Description: partial 16S ribosomal RNA
Rfam family: Bacterial small subunit ribosomal RNA
Source: RNAcentral
GAUGAACGCUGGCGGCGUGCCUAAUACAUGCAAGUCGAGCGAACGGACGAGAAGCUUGCUUCUCUGAUGUUAGCGGCGGACGGGUGAGUAACACGUGGAUAACCUACCUAUAAGACUGGGAUAACUUCGGGAAACCGGAGCUAAUACCGGAUAAUAUUUUGAACCGCAUGGUUCAAAAGUGAAAGACGGUCUUGCUGUCACUUAUAGAUGGAUCCGCGCUGCAUUAGCUAGUUGGUAAGGUAACGGCUUACCAAGGCAACGACGCAUAGCCGACCUGAGAGGGUGAUCGGCCACACUGGAACUGAGACACGGUCCAGACUCCUACGGGAGGCAGCAGUAGGGAAUCUUCCGCAAAGGGCGAAAGCCUGACGGAGCAACGCCGCGUGAGUGAUGAAGGUCUUCGGAUCGUAAAACUCUGUUAUUAGGGAAGAACAUAUGUGUAAGUAACUGUGCACAUCUUGACGGUACCUAAUCAGAAAGCCACGGCUAACUACGUG